AGCCGCCGCGGUAAUACCAGCAGUUCAAGUUGCAUCCCUUUUUAUUGGGUCUAAAACAUCCGUAGCUUGCCAUCUAAGUCUCUUGUGAAAUCCUACGUCUCAAGCGUAGUGAAGUGCAGGAGAUACUGGGUGGCUGGAGAUCGGUAGACGUAAGGAGUACGCCGGAGGUAAUGGUAAAAUAUGUUAAUCUUCGGUGGACUAACAAUGAGCGAAGGCACCUUACGAGGACGAAUCUGACAGUGAGGGAUGAAGGCCAGGGGCGCAAAACGGAUUAGAUACCCGUGUAGUCCUGGCAGUAAACACUGUUCACUAAACAUCGGGCCCUCUUCGGGAGGAUUCGGUGCUGAAGCGAAGGCGAAGAGUGAACUACCUGGGAAGUAUAGUCGCAAGAUCGAAACUUAAAGGAAUUGGCGGGGAGACAUACAACGAGUGACGCGUGCGGUUCAAUUAGAUUUUACACCGUGAACCUCACCAGGAGCGACAGCAGGAUGAAGGUCAGUCUGAAGGGCUUACCCUGACACGCUGAGCGGAGAUGCAUGGCCGACGUCAGCCUGUGCUGUGAAGUGACCUGUUAAAUCAGGUAACAGGCGAGACCCGUGUCGAUAAUUACUACAGAAAUGGGUACCUUAUCGAGACUGCCUUGGUAACAAGGAGGAAGGUGCGGGCUACGUUAGGUGAGUACGUCCCUAAUCCCCUGGGCUACACGCGCGCGGCAAUGGUAUGUUCAAAUGGAUGCGACUCCGAAAGGAGAAGCUAAUCCCCUAACGCAUAUCUCAGUCCAGAUUGAGGGUUGCAACCCACCCUCAUAACGUUGGAAUUCGUAGUAAUCGGAUAUUAGCACUGUCCGGUGAAUAAGUCCCUGUCUCU
RNAcentral lists this ribosomal RNA (867 nucleotides) under uncultured euryarchaeote. RNAcentral describes it as "bacterial SSU rRNA". It matches the Rfam family "Archaeal small subunit ribosomal RNA", at positions 460 to 1337 of the family's 1478-position model. Lineage: Archaea; Methanobacteriati; Methanobacteriota. The record is from RNAcentral.